CACGUAGUUAGCCGGGGCUUCUUGGUCAGGUACCGUCAUUUCUUUCUUCCCUGCUGAUAGAGCUUUACAUACCGAGAUACUUCUUCACUCACGCGGCGUCGCUGGAUCAGGGUUCCCCCCAUUGUCCAAUAUUCCCCACUGCUGCCUCCCGUAGGAGUUUAGGCCGUGUCUCAGUCCCAAUGUGGCCGUCCACCCUCUCAGGCCGGCUACUGAUCGUCGCCUUGGUGGGCCGUUACCCCGCCAACAAGCUAAUCAGACGCGGGUCCAUCAUAUACCACCGGAGUUUUUCACACUGAGCCAUGCAGCUCCGUGCGCUUAUGCGGUAUUAGCACCUAUUUCUAAGUGUUAUCCCCCUGUAUAUGGCAGGUUACCCACGCGUUACUCACCCGUCCGCCACUAAGCCGCCAACAUUCCACUCUUAGCAAGCUAAUCGCUUCAAAAAUGGUGCCCCGUUCGACUUGCAUGUGUUAAGCACGCCGCCAGCGUUCACUCCUGAGCAGGAUA
Molecule: ribosomal RNA, 504 nt
Filed under: uncultured Lachnospiraceae bacterium
Lineage: Bacteria; Bacillati; Bacillota; Clostridia; Lachnospirales; Lachnospiraceae
Description: partial 16S ribosomal RNA
Source: RNAcentral